Molecule: ribosomal RNA, 393 nt
Filed under: uncultured bacterium
Lineage: Bacteria
Description: bacterial SSU rRNA
Rfam family: Bacterial small subunit ribosomal RNA
Source: RNAcentral
UCAUUCACAAUGGGGGAAACCCUGAUGGUGCGACGCCGCGUGGGGGAAUUAAGGUCUUCGGAUUGUAAACCUCUGUCCUUGGUGACGAUAAUGACGGUAGCCAAGAAGGAAGCCACGGCUAACUACGUGCCAGCAGCCGCGGUAAUACGUAGGUGGCAAGCGUUGUCCGGAAUUACUGGGUGUAAAGGGAGCGUAGGCGGGAGAGCAAGUCAGAUGUGAAAUCCACAGGCUUAACCUGUGGCGUGCAUUUGAAACUGUUUUUCUUGAGUGAAGUAGAGGCAGGCGGAAUUCCGAGUGUAGCGGUGAAAUGCGUAGAUAUUCGGAGGAACACCAGUGGCGAAGGCGGCCUGCUGGGCUUUUACUGACGCUGAGGCUCGAAAGCAUGGGUAGCAA